This 88-nucleotide non-coding RNA is filed under the name Elusimicrobiota bacterium. RNAcentral's name for it is "Elusimicrobia bacterium c-di-GMP sequence". It matches the Rfam family "c-di-GMP-I-GGC riboswitch aptamer". The record is from RNAcentral. Lineage: Bacteria; Pseudomonadati; Elusimicrobiota.
AUUGAUAAAGGCACACUCGGAGUAAUCCGGGGCCGCAAAGCCACAGAUCCUACCGGCAAAUGACCGGAGGAUGGCUGGGCCGCCAAAA